AGAUAAGCAAGUGCUGGAGGAAUUUGGCGUUGAGCUACCGCCGAGUUUUACCGGUAUUAUGCACUAUGUUUACAAGACGUACCCCGAUAAUCAGCAGGUUUUGAAAGAACUUGAUUACGUCACGCGCGGUAAGCCCGCCAAAGAUGCCCUCCAAGUGGGGUCAACGUACCCUGACGUUGAGUUGGAAUGUGUAAAAUCGCAGGACAAGUACCCACUCUCAAGACUGCAUCUUCACAAGGAACGCCCCUUACUCAUUAUUACGUCAUCAGCUUCCUGACCCCCGUUUAAGGCCAUCGUGGUGGGCGGCGGAUUCUACAAUCUGUAUGCCGACUAUAAAGACACGGUGGAUUUUUUAUGUAUAUAUCUGAAGGAAGCUCAUCCUAACGAUAAGUGGAGUCUUGGUUCCUUUCUAAGUAAUAUUUCUCAGCACACUACGAUAGAAGACAGAAAAAAGGCAGCAAUGAACUUGAUGAAGAUGGAUGAAGAAUAUUACUCCAUAUUUACAUGUGACCCAUUCUCUGAGACAAAAAUUAGAUUGGUUUGCGAUAACAUGGACAACGCCUUCGGACUAACGUACAACGCCCACCCGGAUAGAGUCGUUCUUAUACAAGGCGAAAAGCUAACUUACCUCGGACGUAAUAUUGAUUCGCAAAUGACUGAUCCGAUGAAGUUCAUGACAGAUGAAGCCCGGCAAUUACUUAAAGAGAUUAUCGGAUAAAUCGAUAUUAUUAUAAAAAUUUCACAAGAUCCGCAUUUCGUAUAUUCUUUGUGUGAAAAACGAAAAUUUGUAACUAGACAUUUCAUUAUCACUAUCAAACAGCAAAUCAGGGAGCCAAUGUAAGGGUGAGGUUGUAAACUGAUUGAAAUAACCUCCAACGAUGUCUUUCAAUUUUAAAUUAGUAAAAUUACAUGAAACGUACCGGUAUACUGUACAGGCGUGAGUGCGAUUCAGAAUUCUACAACAAUCUCCUUAAUUCCGCACACACACCGGGCCGUACCGUCCCCACGAGUAUGCCUGUGACUGCGUGGAUCUACGUGAUCGAAAGUGUACUAAUACUAAUUUGGUUAACUUCCAAUGUGGUAGUACCAGGGAACAGUUAACUAUUCCCUGGUAGUACACAGUUUAUUACUGUAUUCUAACUCGGUUUCCAUAUAAUCGCUCACCAUCUAUCGGCGACAGAUGUCGGGAAGUUAGAACCUGGUUCAAGUUUGCCGAUUGAGUUGCAGACGAAUCGGGGUGCCUUCUUAUAAGGAAGGCCCUCGUCAAUAUAUUGUAUGUAUCACCCACUCUAACAAUCAACCACUGAUGUAACAUUAACCACUGUUGUAACAACUAUCAACCACUGUUGUAACAUUGAUCAACCACUGUUGUAACAUUAACCACUAUUGUAACAACGAUGUAACCACUGUUGUAACAAUGAUUUAACCACUAAUAUAACAACGUACAAUAUAGAAGUCUCCAAGCCGAAAACUUAUGUACAUUCCAAAAUUUCACAUUAAUGAUGGUUGUGCAUUUUUAAAAUGUUAUGAUUGUUAAUGUUGAGGUUAAAGGUUAGGUCAUAUAUAUAUAUAUUUAUAUAUAUAUAUAUAUAUAUAUAUAUAUGAUAGUUAAGAUGUAAAGUAUGGUGCCACGUAUGUUCCACAUAGAGUAUCGAUAAAGGAAUUUGUAACACAGAAUAAAUCGAUAUAUAUAUAUAUUAUAUAUAUAUGUAUAUAUAUUGGGCUCUAUUGAGCUGUUUACCAUUUUAAAAUCUGAUCUUUAACUUCUAUAUAAAAAAUGUAUAUAAUUAUUUAAAAAAAUGCCACAACCGUCAAUAAUGUGAAAUUUGGUUUUAAUAGGACAAUGAACGUAAGUUUUUAGCUUAAAGACUUCUAUAUUGUACGUUGUUACGUUAGAAGUUAAAUCGUUGUUACAAUAGGGGUUAAUAAAAUUGUUACAACAGUGGUAAAUAUUUGUUACAACAGUGGUUAAUGUUACAGCGUGGUUGAUUUUUGUUACAACAGCGUGGUUAUUGUUACAAGUGGUUGAUUGUUACAUUAGUGGUUGGUACAGGAGUGUAUUCUAAUUUCUUUUUCUAUUCCGGUUUAAGGAAGUGAAUAAAUGUUGAUUUGAUUUGAGUGAUUGAUUGAUUUAACCUAAUGAUAGUUAGCCUACUUAGUUAUAGGCCAAGCUAAUAAUAGUAUAAUUCUAAAUCAUGUAGGUCCUAUAUACUUUUA
RNAcentral lists this long non-coding RNA (2217 nucleotides) under Anneissia japonica. RNAcentral's name for it is "uncharacterized LOC117112622". The record is from RNAcentral. Lineage: Eukaryota; Metazoa; Echinodermata; Crinoidea; Comatulida; Comatulidae.